RNAcentral lists this ribosomal RNA (253 nucleotides) under uncultured bacterium. RNAcentral's name for it is "partial 16S ribosomal RNA". It matches the Rfam family "Bacterial small subunit ribosomal RNA", at positions 524 to 776 of the family's 1533-position model. The record is from RNAcentral.
UACAGAGGGGGCAAGCGUUGUUCGGAAUUCCUGGGCGUAAAGGGCGCGUAGGCGGCCUUCUAAGUCGAACGUGAAAUCCCCGGGCUCAACCCGGGAACUGCGUCCGAUACUGGAAGGCUUGAAUCCGGGAGAGGGAUGCGGAAUUCCAGGUGUAGCGGUGAAAUGCGUAGAUAUCUGGAGGAACACCGGUGGCGAAGGCGGCAUCCUGGACCGGCAUUGACGCUGAGGCGCGAAAGCCAGGGGAGCAAACGGG